GUGAGGAAUUUUGCGCAAUGGCCGCAAGGCUGACGCAGCAACGCCGCGUGGGUGAUGAAGGCCUUCGGGUCGUAAAGCCCUGUCAGGUGGGAAGAAAGGCCUGGAGAGGAAAGGUUUCAGGUUUGACGGUACCACCAGAGGAAGCACCGGCUAACUCCGUGCCAGCAGCCGCGGUAAUACGGAGGGUGCGAGCGUUAUUCGGAAUUACUGGGCGUAAAGCGCGUGUAGGCGGGGGGAGAAGUCUGAUGUGAAAGACCUGGGCUUAACCUGGGAAGCGCAUUGGAAACUGUUUUUCUUGAGUACUGGAGAGGAAGGGGGAAUUCCCGGUGUAGAGGUGAAAUUCGUAGAGAUCGGGAGGAAUACCAGUGGCGUAGGCGCCCUUCUGGACGGUAACUGACGCUGAGACGCGAAAGCGUGGGGAGCAAACAGGAUUAGAAACCCCGGGUAGUCC
This 451-nucleotide ribosomal RNA is filed under the name uncultured bacterium. Its description in RNAcentral is "partial 16S ribosomal RNA". It matches the Rfam family "Bacterial small subunit ribosomal RNA", at positions 354 to 796 of the family's 1533-position model. The record is from RNAcentral.